GACGAACGCUGGCGGCGUGCUUUACACAUGCAAGUCGAACGGUGAAGGUGGAGCUUGCUCCGCCGGAUCAGUGGCGAACGGGUGAGUAACACGUGGGCAACCUGCCCCUAACUUUGGGAUAACUACUCGAAAGAGUAGCUAAUACCGGAUAUGAAGUCUGUAGGCAUCUACGGAUUUGGAAAGUUUUUCGGUUAGGGAUGGGCCCGCGGCCUAUCAGCUUGUUGGUGAGGUAGUGGCUCACCAAGGCGACGACGGGUAGCCGGCCUGAGAGGGCGACCGGCCACACUGGGACUGAGACACGGCCCAGACUCCUACGGGAGGCAGCAGUGGGGAAUAUUGCGCAAUGGGCGAAAGCCUGACGCAGCAACGCCGCGUGCGGGAUGAAGGCCUUCGGGUUGUAAACCGCUUUCAGCAGGGAAGAAGCGAAAGUGACGGUACCUGCAGAAGAAGCACCGGCUAACUACGUGCCAGCCGCCGCGGUAA
RNAcentral lists this ribosomal RNA (483 nucleotides) under uncultured bacterium. RNAcentral describes it as "partial 16S ribosomal RNA". It matches the Rfam family "Bacterial small subunit ribosomal RNA", at positions 28 to 523 of the family's 1533-position model. The record is from RNAcentral.